CAGCCCCGCCGGUUCCGGUCUGUGUUCAUCGCGCUAACCAGCUGACGUUGAUACACUUUAAACAUGAAUCAAGACCGCAGACAUUGAAAAACGGUCCAUUUUCAUAGGCAGGAGAAAACCUACGCCGAGCACUGGUGUGUCCCCCACUGUACAGCGUCAGCCAAAUUCAACGGGGUAUUAAGUUUCCAUGGCUUUCCGAGCCAAACUGACGUGAGGAGUCAAUGGAUUCCAACUACUCUUCAGGGUCGAAGGAGACUUACAAAAGGUGCCGUACCGACCCUUUUUGAGUGGAACCAGUAUACAGUCGAAACCCCAAGGCGCGGCGUGUGGGAGAGAGUGGAUCGGUUCGUCGAACCUGCCCCUCCGGAAGAUGAAGUUGAUCUCCUUUUCAACGAUCAAGACUACUGCUCUGUCCCUGAACCGGCUGCCAUGGAUAUGUCCGCAUCCGCUAAUGAAAGCGUCUCAAAUGAAGUAGAGGAGCUGAGAAAGGAGCUACAGGAGUUACGUCUGCAGCGAGAGUUUGGACUGCAACGGUUUGCUGGCUCCGACGCAGACAUACGCUUUUACACAAGGGAAGUCACUACAAUUUUUUGUAUUAGCCUAUGAUAUUAGCCUAGUCCCUACGUGACGGGGAUAUGUGUCAGGCAGGGACAUUAUUGGUUAGAAAAUAGCUUUACAUUACAGAUUAAUUUAUAGUACUGUACCAAAUUAUUUCUUAAUAGGUCUAUGUGAAUGAUAAAUAGCACUCAAGUAGUGUCAUGUUGAGAGAUGGUGGAAUUGGAGUUGGAGAUGUCCAUGUCUUAUCAGAAUUUAUAUAUAUGAAUGUGACCGCACCAAUAGUACAGAGACAAACAACAUUUAUAAUACAGAUUUGUUUAAAGACUUACAGAGACGUGUUUCCAGGUCAAGUCUACAAAAGUUUAUUUUUAAAUAGUUGAAAAUAGUCCUAAGUUAUUAUUCUAUGAGAUGAAAAUAGGAGCACUGAAGCGACAGCGCCAGAACGUGACCGUCUCCAACUCCACCAAUGCUGGUCCUAGAACAAAAAUACUAUUAAUAAACAAUUGUAAACAUUUAUGAAUUGAGCAGGUAACACCCUACUUAUCUGCAUGCAAGUACACGGCAAACCACCAAACAGCGCCUCCCAAAGAUACGGCCCGGACAGGAACACUACUCUAAAGAGAGAGCACAGAGACCACAUUAGGGCAUUGGAUAUCCAGACACAUCAGGUCGUCUUACAGGAAGUUGGGGCAGUUAUUGAACUGCACCCAAAGAGGAAACUAAACAAACCUUUCGCUCAGAGUGCCAGGGAUUAGUUAUGGUGCCAUCCGGGUAGAGCAACCAUUGGGUAGUGGCACAAGUCACAAUACAGGUUAAAGGGAGGUGACUGAGGCUGAAACAGGUAUAUGGGAGAAAUACAGGUCACCCUGCUACAUAUACUGUACAUAUAUAUAUAUAUAUAUAUAUAAAAUCGUAAUCUUAGUAGUUACUGUUGACAUUAUUUUGGUAACAAUGUAUCCUUGUGAUGUACUUUUAAUUGAACUUUUUUAUUUGAUGUCUUUUGUGAAUAGAUUUGCCAGCUACGACCACCUGAUGGCUUUUUGGUCUUUGAUUGAGCCUUGUCUCUACAAGAUGGUCCGUGUCUCAAAAGCCAAAUCAGCUGCCCAGAAAAAAAGAAGUGGUCACAUCUGCACGUGCAACAUAGUACUUUAUAAGUAGUUACAGAUGUAAUUAUAAGUGAUGCCAUUACAUUUGUUCUUUGAGCUAUAAUAUUUUUUUCCUCUCAGAGACAGCUGCUCCAGCCCAUAGAUUAACUUUAUUUUUUCAUAACUGGUGAUGAAUCACAAAGGCUUUAUCUAAGAGAAAAAGGUAAAUCAUUAGAAAUAUAACCUCAGCAUCAUGGGUGUAAAAAACAACUUGGUUCUUAUGAAGGUAAGUACUUGAA
Gadus macrocephalus (Pacific cod) is the source of this 1942-nucleotide long non-coding RNA. RefSeq lists it as uncharacterized. NCBI's taxonomy places the organism in Eukaryota, Metazoa, Chordata, Actinopteri, Gadiformes, Gadidae. The record is from RefSeq and is a predicted model, not a curated record. The transcript is spliced from 2 exons.